GAUGAACGCUGGCGGCGUGCCUAAUACAUGCAAGUCGAGCGAACGGACGAGAAGCUUGCUUCUCUGAUGUUAGCGGCGGACGGGUGAGUAACACGUGGAUAACCUACCUAUAAGACUGGGAUAACUUCGGGAAACCGGAGCUAAUACCGGAUGAUAUUUUGAACCGCAUGGUUCAAAAGUGAAAGACGGUCUUGCUGUCACUUAUAGAUGGAUCCGCGCUGCAUUAGCUAGUUGGUAAGGUAACGGCUUACCAAGGCAACGAUGCAUAGCCGACCUGAGAGGGUGAUCGUCCACACUGGAACUGAGACACGGUCCAGACUCCUACGGGAGGCAGCAGUAGGGAAUCUUCCGCAAUGGGCGAAAGCCUGACGGAGCAACGCCGCGUGAGUGAUGAAGGUCUUCGGAUCGUAAAACUCUGUUAUUAGGGAAGAACAUAUGUGUAAGUAACUGUGCACAUCUUGACGGUACCUAAUCAGAAAACCACGGCUAACUACGUG
RNAcentral lists this ribosomal RNA (497 nucleotides) under uncultured bacterium. RNAcentral describes it as "partial 16S ribosomal RNA". It matches the Rfam family "Bacterial small subunit ribosomal RNA", at positions 28 to 507 of the family's 1533-position model. The record is from RNAcentral.